CCCUGCGCAAGGGAUCUCUUGGCUCGCUGUGCGAUGAAGGGCGCAGCGGAGGGCGAAAUGUGCAGGAGCAGCAGCAGUGAUUGCACGUGCCCUAAGAUGGCUAGCAUGGAUACCCCUUUGAAUUAAGCAUAUGAGUAGAGGGAGGAAAAGAAACUAACAAGGAUUCCCGUAGUAGCGGCGAGCGAAGAGGGAAGAGCCCGGAGUGUAAUCGCUGCUUUAUUAGCGGCGAGAUGUCAGUGAGUGAGAUGAACCGUUCUGGAAAGACGGGGCCGAAGAGGGUGAGAGCCCCGUUGCAGCUCAUUCUUAAGGGAGUAGCGGUGUUUUGUAUUGCACCGUGAAUGGGUGGCAGCGUGCAUCCAAGGCUAAAUAUGGCAGCGAGACCGAUAGUGGAUAAGUAGAGUGAUCGAAAGAAGAAUAUUGUGAAAAGGUGAAAUUGCGC
Molecule: ribosomal RNA, 439 nt
Filed under: Dasyatispora levantinae
Lineage: Eukaryota; Fungi; Microsporidia; Pleistophoridae
Description: LSU rRNA
Rfam family: Archaeal large subunit ribosomal RNA
Source: RNAcentral